AGACAGAGGAGGCGAGCAUUGCUCGGAAUCACUGGGCUUAAAGCGGGUGUAGGCGGCCGCGCAAGUGUCGUGUGAAAGCCCACGGCUCAACCGUGGAACAGCACGGCAAACUGCGUGGCUUGAGGUCGGCAGAGGUGGCUGGAAUUCUCGGUGGAGCGGUGAAAUGCGUAGAUAUCUAGAGGAACGCCGGAGGCGAAAGCGGGCCACUGGGCCGGUUCUGACGCUGAGACCCGAAAGCGUGGGGAGCAAACAGGAUUAGAAACCCCAGUAGUCC
Molecule: ribosomal RNA, 274 nt
Filed under: uncultured bacterium
Lineage: Bacteria
Description: partial 16S ribosomal RNA
Rfam family: Bacterial small subunit ribosomal RNA
Source: RNAcentral